AUUGAACGCUGGCGGAAUGCUUUACACAUGCAAGUCGAGCGGCAGCGCGGGGCAACCUGGCGGCGAGCGGCGAACGGGUGAGUAACAUAUCGGAACGUACCCAGUCGUGGGGGAUAACUAUCCGAAAGGAUAGCUAAUACCGCAUACGACCUGAGGGUGAAAGGGGGGGAUCGCAAGACCUCUCGCGAUUGGAGCGGCCGAUAUCGGAUUAGCUAGUUGGUGAGGUAAAGGCUCACCAAGGCGACGAUCCGUAGCUGGUCUGAGAGGACGACCAGCCACACUGGAACUGAGACACGGUCCAGACUCCUACGGGAGGCAGCAGUGGGGAAUUUUGGACAAUGGGGGGCAACCCUGAUCCAGCCAUUCCGCGUGAGUGAAGAAGGCCUCGGUUGUAAG
This 396-nucleotide ribosomal RNA is filed under the name uncultured bacterium. RNAcentral's name for it is "bacterial SSU rRNA". It matches the Rfam family "Bacterial small subunit ribosomal RNA", at positions 29 to 429 of the family's 1533-position model. The record is from RNAcentral.